CGGCGGAACACGUGAAAUUCCGUCGGAAUCCGGGAGGACCAUCUCCCAAGGCUAAAUACUCCCUAGUGACCGAUAGUGAACCAGUACCGUGAGGGAAAGGUGAAAAGCACCCCGGAAGGGGAGUGAAACAGUUCCUGAAACCGUGUGCCUACAAGUAGUUAGAGCCCGUUAAUGGGUGAUAGCGUGCCUUUUGUAGAAUGAACCGGCGAGUUACGAUUUGUUGCAAGGUUAAGCGGAAAAAGCGGAGCCGUAGCGAAAGCGAGUCUGAAUAGGGCGCAUAAGUAACAGGUCGUAGACCCGAAACCAGGUGAUCUACCCAUGUCCAGGAUGAAGGUAAGGUAAUACUUACUGGAGGUCCGAACCCACGCACGUUGAAAAGUGCGGGGAUGAGGUGUGGGUAGCGGAGAAAUUCCAAUCGAACUUGGAGAUAGCUGGUUCUCUCCGAAAUAGCUUUAGGGCUAGCCUCGAGGUAAAGAGUCAUGGAGGUAGAGCACUGUUUGGACUAGGGGCCCUUCUCGGGUUACCGAAUUCAGAUAAACUCCGAAUGCCAUGUACUUAUACUCGGGAGUCAGACUGCGAGUGAUAAGAUCCGUAGUCGAAAGGGAAACAGCCCAGACCACCAGUUAAGGUCCCCAAAUAUAUGUUAAGUGGAAAAGGAUGUGGGGUUGCUUAGACAACCAGGAUGUUGGCUUAGAAGCAGCCACCAUUGAAAGAGUGCGUAAUAGCUCACUGGUCGAGUGACCCCGCGCCGAAAAUGUACCGGGGCUAAACAUAUUACCGAAACUGUGGAUGAACCUCUUUAGAGGUUCGUGGUAGGAGAGCGUUCUAAGGGCGGUGAAGUCAGACCGGAAGGACUGGUGGAGCGCUUAGAAGUGAGAAUGCCGGUAUGAGUAGCGAAAGAAGGGUGAGAAUCCCUUCCACCGAAUAUCUAAGGUUUCCUGAGGAAGGCUCGUCCGCUCAGGGUUAGUCGGGACCUAAGCCGAGGCCGAUAGGCGUAGGCGAUGGACAACAGGUAGAGAUUCCUGUACCAGUGCUAAUUGUUUAACCGAUGGGGUGACACAGAAGGAUAGGGAAUCGCACGAAUGGAAAUGUGCGUCCAAGCAGUGAGUGUGAGAAGUAGGCAAAUCCGCUUCUCGCGAAGCAUGAGCUGUGAUGGGGAAGGAAAUUAAGUACGGAAGUUCCUGAUUUCACGCUGUCAAGAAAAGCCUCUAGGAAGAGUAGUACUGCCCGUACCGCAAACCGACACAGGUAGAUGAGGAGAGAAUCCUAAGGUGAGCGAGAGAACUCUCGUUAAGGAACUCGGCAAAAUGACCCCGUAACUUCGGGAGAAGGGGUGCUCUAUUAGGGUGCAAGCCCGAGAGAGCCGCAGUGAAUAGGCCCAGGCGACUGUUUAGCAAAAACACAGGUCUCUGCAAAACCGUAAGGUGACGUAUAGGGGCUGACGCCUGCCCGGUGCUGGAAGGUUAAGAGGAGUGCUUAGCUUCGGCGAAGGUACGAAUUGAAGCCCCAGUAAACGGCGGCCGUAACUAUAACGGUCCUAAGGUAGCGAAAUUCCUUGUCGGGUAAGUUCCGACCCGCACGAAAGGCGCAACGAUCUGGGCACUGUCUCAACGAGAGACUCGGUGAAAUUAUAGUACCUGUGAAGAUGCAGGUUACCCGCGACAGGACGGAAAGACCCCGUGGAGCUUUACUGCAACCUGAUAUGGAAUGUUUGUACCGCUUGUACAGGAUAGGUAGGAGCCGAAGAGACGUGUGCGCUAGCAUACGAGGAGGCAAUGGUGGGAUACUACCCUGGCUGUAUGACCAUUCUAACCCGCCACGCUUAGCGCGUGGGGAGACAGUGUCAGGUGGGCAGUUUGACUGGGGCGGUCGCCUCCUAAAGAGUAACGGAGGCGCCCAAAGGUUCCCUCAGAAUGGAUGGAAAUCAUUCGCAGAGUGUAAAGGCACAAGGGAGCUUGACUGCGAGACUGACAAGUCGAGCAGGGACGAAAGUCGGGCUUAGUGAUCCGGUGGUUCCGCAUGGAAGGGCCAUCGCUCAACGGAUAAAAGCUACCCCGGGGAUAACAGGCUUAUCUCCCCCAAGAGUCCACAUCGACGGGGAGGUUUGGCACCUCGAUGUCGGCUCGUCGCAUCCUGGGGCUGUAGUCGGUCCCAAGGGUUGGGCUGUUCGCCCAUUAAAGCGGCACGCGAGCUGGGUUCAGAACGUCGUGAGACAGUUCGGUCCCUAUCCGUCGCGGGCGCAGGAAAUUUGAGAGGAGCUGUCCUUAGUACGAGAGGACCGGGAUGGACACACCGCUGGUGUACCAGUUGUUCCGCCAGGAGCAUCGCUGGGUAGCUAUGUGUGGCAGGGAUAAACGCUGAAAGCAUCUAAGCGUGAAGCCCCCCUCAAGAUGAGAUUUCCCAUUUCUUCGGAAAGUAAGAUCCCUGAAAGAUGAUCAGGUAGAUAGGUUUGGAGUGGAAGUGUAGCGAUACAUGGAGCGGACAAAUACUAAUCGAUCGAGGACUUAACCAA
RNAcentral lists this ribosomal RNA (2512 nucleotides) under Listeria monocytogenes. RNAcentral's name for it is "partial 23S ribosomal RNA". It matches the Rfam family "Bacterial large subunit ribosomal RNA", at positions 415 to 2925 of the family's 2925-position model. Lineage: Bacteria; Bacillati; Bacillota; Bacilli; Caryophanales; Listeriaceae. The record is from RNAcentral.